AGAGCGGCGGACGGGUGAGUAACGCGUAGGAAUCUAGCCGGUAGUGGGGGACAACUCGGGGAAGGUCGAGCUAAUACCGCAUACGCCCUAAUGUGAAUAGCGGGAGACCAUUGGGCCUCGCGCUAUCGGAUGAGCCUGCGUUGGAUUAGCUAGUUGGUGGGGUAAAGGCCUACCAAGGCGACGAUCCAUAGCUGGUCUGAGAGGAUGAUCAGCCACACCGGGACUGAGACAAGGCCCGGACUCCCACGGGAGGCAGCAGUGGGGAAUAUUGCGCAAUGGGGGAAAGCCUAAAGCAACAACACCCCGGGUGUGUAGAAAAGGGCUCCGGGUUUGAAAGCACUUUCACUUGGGAGGAAACGUUGCAGGUUAAUACCCUGUAGCUUUGACGUUACCUUGAGAAGAAGCACCGGCUAACUCCGUGCCAGCAGCCGCGGUAAUACGGAGGGUGCGAGCGUUAAUCGGAAUUACUGGGCGUAAAGCGCGCGUAGGCGGUUUGUUAAGUCGGAUGUGAAAGCCCCGGGCUCAACCUGGGAAUUGCACCCGAUACUGGCCGACUGGAGUGCGAGAGAGGGAGGUAGAAUCCCACGUGUAGCGGGUGAAAUGCGUAGAUUUGUGGAGGAAUACCGGUGGCGAAGGCGGCCUCCUGGCUCGACACUGACGCU
This 662-nucleotide ribosomal RNA is filed under the name uncultured organism. RNAcentral describes it as "bacterial SSU rRNA". It matches the Rfam family "Bacterial small subunit ribosomal RNA", at positions 92 to 747 of the family's 1533-position model. The record is from RNAcentral.